Molecule: ribosomal RNA, 465 nt
Filed under: Vreelandella stevensii
Lineage: Bacteria; Pseudomonadati; Pseudomonadota; Gammaproteobacteria; Oceanospirillales; Halomonadaceae
Description: partial 16S ribosomal RNA
Rfam family: Bacterial small subunit ribosomal RNA
Source: RNAcentral
CCUACGGGUGGCUGCAGUGGGGAAUAUUGGACAAUGGGGGGAACCCUGAUCCAGCCAUGCCGCGUGUGUGAAGAAGCCCCUCGGGUUGUAAAGCACUUUCAGUGAGGAAGAACGCCUGGUGGUUAAUACCCAUCAGGAAAGACAUCACUCACAGAAGAAGCACCGGCUAACUCCGUGCCAGCAGCCGCGGUAAUACGGAGGGUGCGAGCGUUAAUCGGAAUUACUGGGCGUAAAGCGCGCGUAGGUGGCUUGAUAAGCCGGUUGUGAAAGCCCCGGGCUCAACCUGGGAACGGCAUCCGGAACUGUCAAGCUAGAGUGCAGGAGAGGAAGGUAGAAUUCCCGGUGUAGCGGUGAAAUGCGUAGAGAUCGGGAGGAAUACCAGUGGCGAAGGCGGCCUUCUGGACUGACACUGACACUGAGGUGCGAAAGCGUGGGUAGCAAACAGGAUUAGAUACCCUGGUAGUC